UAACCAGACUCCUACGGGAGGCAGCAGUGAGGAAUAUUGGUCAAUGGGCGGGAGCCUGAACCAGCCAUGCCGCGUGAAGGCGAGUGCCCUACGGGCGUUAAACUUCUUUUGUGCGGGAGCAAUAAGGGCCACGCGUGGCCCGAUGAGAGUACCGCACGAAUAAGCAUCGGCUAACUCCGUGCCAGCAGCCGCGGUAAUACGGAGGAUGCGAGCGUUAUCCGGAUUUAUUGGGUUUAAAGGGUGCGUAGGCGGCAUUAUAAGUUAGUGGUAAAAUAUUGGGGCUUCACCUCACUACGCCAUUAAUACUGUAGAGCUAGAGAACAGACGAGGUAGGCGGAAUAAGUUAAGUAGCGGUGAAAUGCAUAGAUAUAACUUAGAACACCGAUAGCGAAGGCAGCUUACCAGACUGAGUCUGACGCUGAUGCACGAGAGCAUGGGUAGCGAACAGGAUUAGAUACCCGCGUAUA
This 467-nucleotide ribosomal RNA is filed under the name uncultured bacterium. RNAcentral describes it as "bacterial SSU rRNA". It matches the Rfam family "Bacterial small subunit ribosomal RNA", at positions 328 to 794 of the family's 1533-position model. The record is from RNAcentral.